AGUACAGUGCUCUGCACACAGUAAGCGCUCAAUAAAUACGAUUGACUGAUUGAUUGAAAGGAAGGGGCUUGCUCUUGAGAAGCUACAAUCUAAGGCAGGGUGUGGGGGAGGGAUGGUCAAUAAAUUUCCCAAUUUAAAUGGGUAUAAGAGCAUAUAAAUGAUCGAGAGAAGCAAGUAAAUGAAUAAUAAACAGAUAUUCACCCGCCUACUAAGGUGACUGAUAGGGUAACAUGAUCAGGAGGUGGAUUUCUAGGGUAGAGUCAAGGUUUUACUUGCUCUUCCUAUCAGAAUAGCUGCAUGUCAUUUAGUGGGGAUGAGACAUAAAGAAUGUUUCCCAGGAAAUAGAUACUCUCGGCUUCCUGUCCAGUGGGUUUCUAAUGAUGAUGAUUAUAAUAACAGGUGGCUAUUAUUGGCCAACUGUCCAAGUGCUAUGUGCCAAGCACUGUACUAAACAUUAGGUAGAGUCAAGUUAAUCAGGUUGGACACAGUCCCUGUCCCAGAUGGGGCUCACAGUCUAAAGACGCUUUUCGGAGAGUUUAGGCUCAUCUUUAGGGAAAGGAAGGGCAUGAGUUGAACUUGUUUACAGUACUGAUGUGUAUUCCCUCUUUGUGUUUUCUUAGACCACCUUAUAAACCGAUUUUGCAGAUGUGGGUGUCAGUCUUACACCGGGGCAUACCUUUUGUCUGAUGCUGUGGUUAAACAAUACAAGCAACAAAAAACCCCCCACCUAGUGUCUCGACCGAUUUCCCUCCCUGAAUUUCUUCCUGCUUACUAACGGGAUGAACUCCGUUUCGAGGAACCGACUUUUCCAUUUCCGAGCUAAACGAGGGUGCCCUCACCUAGCAGAAUCGCCCAGUAGGAUAGCGGCAGUAGGGGACGGCGAUCUUGCCAGCCUGUAUAAUGCAUGCCUGUUUCACCGCGUCCUUGCUUCUGCCCCUUAGUUCAACCCCCUCCGUGUGCUCAGAAGAGAUCCUAGCCAUCGAAGAGAAUUUUCUUUUUUUUAAAAAAAGCUGCAUAUUACGGUUUUUUGUAACUGCUGAGUGAAGGGCGGGGGUGCCGUUGGGCACCGUCCGUCUUUCCAUUGUGUCCAAGCCUUGGUUCGAAGCGGUGGAUUUGUACCUUAAUGAGUCUGUACUGUUCGACUGUUGCUGAUGAACUUCUGUGCUAUCAACGAGAACUACCACCAAGUGUCUUAAACUUUAUCGCCCCCCCCCCCUCCCCGCCCCACUGUUUCUAACGCCGAGUUCUGUAACCGUGGUGAUCCGGGUGUCCGCCUGUAAAGAACCGACCCUCCCUGUACCCCCCUCGGUGCCGUGCCCGUGCCCGCGAUGGGUGUUCUCGUCUCCGUGCUGGAAAAAUAAAUGGUUGUGGGAUUUCACCCGCCCGCGGCUGA
Tachyglossus aculeatus (Australian echidna) is the source of this 1393-nucleotide long non-coding RNA. RefSeq lists it as uncharacterized. The transcript is spliced from 2 exons. Lineage: Eukaryota; Metazoa; Chordata; Mammalia; Monotremata; Tachyglossidae. The record is from RefSeq and is a predicted model, not a curated record.